RNAcentral lists this ribosomal RNA (301 nucleotides) under uncultured bacterium. RNAcentral describes it as "partial 16S ribosomal RNA". It matches the Rfam family "Bacterial small subunit ribosomal RNA", at positions 509 to 807 of the family's 1533-position model. The record is from RNAcentral.
CAGUAGCCGCGGUAAAACGGAGGGGGCUAGCGUUGUUCGGAAUUACUGGGCGUAAAGCGCACGUAGGCGGCUUGGUAAGUUAGAGGUGAAAGCCUGAAGCUCAACUCCAGAAUUGCCUUUAAGACUGCCGAGCUAGCAGGUGAGAGAGGUAAGUGGAAUUCCGAGUGUAGAGGUGAAAUUCGUAGAUAUUCGGAAGAACACCAGUGGCGAAGGCGGCUUACUGGCUCAUACUGGACGCUGAGGUGCGAAAGCGUGGGGAGCAAACAGGUUUAGAUACCCGGGUAGUCCCUGUCUCUUAUAC